Molecule: transfer RNA, 74 nt
Filed under: Pyricularia oryzae
Lineage: Eukaryota; Fungi; Ascomycota; Sordariomycetes; Magnaporthales; Pyriculariaceae
Description: tRNA-Thr
Source: RNAcentral
AGGGUAAUGAUGAAAUUGGUAAACAUGGAUAGUUUAGGACUAUUAUUCUACCCGUUCAAGUCGGGUUUACCUUA